This 66-nucleotide transfer RNA is filed under the name Marinimicrobium koreense. It matches the Rfam family "tRNA". Rfam says of the family: Transfer RNA (tRNA) molecules are approximately 80 nucleotides in length. Their secondary structure includes four short double-helical elements and three loops (D, anti-codon, and T loops). The record is from RNAcentral. Lineage: Bacteria; Pseudomonadati; Pseudomonadota; Gammaproteobacteria; Cellvibrionales; Cellvibrionaceae. RNAcentral also lists the same sequence under 20 other names.
GGCGUAGCUCAGUUGGUAGAGCAGCUGACUUGUAAUCAGCCGGUCGGGGGUUCGACUCCUCUCGCC